CAAAUCUUGUUCCUGCCAAGAGACUUAAACCACUUGAUGUGGUUUUCUAUUUGUUGCCAAAGCAGUGUGAAAAAAACCCAGAAGAGCAGGAGCAAAUAGUCCAUAUGCAUGCAGGAUUGGGCCGUAGGACUGCUCAUCUAGAUGAAAGCACAACCCAUGAAGAGUUAUGUGAUGCCCUCAAAGUUUUAUUUCCAAAAUUGGGGGCCGUGACUGGUGGGUGGCUGCUAUACAAAUCUGCAGGUGGAUGGGGUAGCCAAAAACUCUCUCUUGUGGCUC
This is a long non-coding RNA of Sander lucioperca (pikeperch), 276 nucleotides long. RefSeq lists it as uncharacterized. The record is from RefSeq and is a predicted model, not a curated record. The transcript has 3 exons. NCBI's taxonomy places the organism in Eukaryota, Metazoa, Chordata, Actinopteri, Perciformes, Percidae.